Molecule: long non-coding RNA, 237 nt
Filed under: Rattus norvegicus (Norway rat)
Lineage: Eukaryota; Metazoa; Chordata; Mammalia; Rodentia; Muridae
Description: long non-coding RNA NONRATT014163
Source: RNAcentral
ACCAGACAAUUGACUAUUGAGGCCUGUGAGGCAUUAAACAAAGUAAAUGAAAAAUUGACUCUAGCAAGGGUCCAACGCUUGGAUCCUGCUGAAGAGUGGUCCUUGUGCAUUCUAAAAACUAAUUGUACCCCCACAGCCUGCCUGUGGCAGAAUGGGAUAUUGGAAUGGAUUCAUUUACCUCAUAUUUCGCAUAAAGUUUUGGUUUCUUAUGAUACCCUAUGCACUCAAUUGAUUAUC